GAAUGGAGUAUGUGUAUCUGUGUGCGAGG
RNAcentral lists this non-coding RNA (29 nucleotides) under Callithrix jacchus (white-tufted-ear marmoset). RNAcentral also lists the same sequence under 1 other name. The record is from RNAcentral. Lineage: Eukaryota; Metazoa; Chordata; Mammalia; Primates; Cebidae.